This is a long non-coding RNA of Mustela erminea (ermine), 463 nucleotides long. RefSeq lists it as uncharacterized. NCBI's taxonomy places the organism in Eukaryota, Metazoa, Chordata, Mammalia, Carnivora, Mustelidae. The transcript has 3 exons. The record is from RefSeq and is a predicted model, not a curated record.
UGGGUUUUCCAAGUUCCAUAUUUGGUAUUAAGUAGGAUUAUAGUCCUUUCCAAGCCCCAUGUACUACAUAGAAGCAACAACACAGUCAUUGAAACUGAAGGAGCACAGAAGACUACAAUGAUGGACAUUUUAGUAGCAGCCGAUAUGAAAGGCAAUGCAAGCAGCAGAUGACUCCAGCUCUGAACUCCCUCCCAAGCAUUUGGAUUGGGUUAAACUCUGGGACUGUGGUGAUGCUAGGAAAACUUAGUCAUGGAUAUCAAAUAAAGAUCCCAUCCAUGAUACCACAUUGCAUUGAGUUUUCAGAUUUCCUUAGGCUCCUCUUAGUGACAAAUUCUCAUCUCAGCACAAAUGAAAUCAAGAUUUGGUUUGGCAAAGGAAAUAGACAUUAGGCCAUGAGAGUAGAUGGUCUGUUUGAAGAACAAGCAACUAUUUCACGUGUCCGGAAGUGAAGUAGCAGAGUUGG